Molecule: non-coding RNA, 751 nt
Organism: Lolium perenne
Lineage: Eukaryota; Viridiplantae; Streptophyta; Magnoliopsida; Poales; Poaceae
Source: RefSeq, a predicted model, not a curated record
GUCUAUUCUCAAAUCCUUUGUGAGAACUUCAUUUUGCAAGAUUCAACUCUGAUCAUAUUUAGAUCAUGUAACUGUUGCUAGUCGCUGUUACAUUCGCAUGCUAGUUCGAUAUGAUAGUGAUGUCAUUGUUUAAUAGUAUUCACUUACUGAAUUUCAUCACCUCAAAAAGGAAUAUUUAUUGUGAUACCAUUUAUGCUACCUGAGUUACCAUGAGCAUGUAUUGAUUUAUGUGUGUAUUCUUAACGUGUAGGCUAUUAUAGAUGCGGAAAUGAAGGAUGGCCACAAUGAUCCACAUUCCGUACCAUCAGAAGAGCUAUCAGCUUCUUUGGGGUAAAACCGGGUAUGACCAGCAGAUUCUCCCCCAACAACCUUGACUGUUGCUGCUCCUGCAGUCCAUGAAGUGUCAAGUGGUAGUUGCUGAUUGUAGUUGUAGGUGGUAUUUUGUGAAGAAGCUCGUCGUUGUGAGAACCUUGUAGCCCGGGUGUAAAUUGAGCUAGCUGUAGUUUCGCUUCUCAAUUGAACUAUUAAGAAUAUCUUGCUGCCAAUGUCGAUCAGUUUUUGUAUGCCACUCGGUCUGAGAUCCAUGGCUGUUUUUGGUUGCUUAACUUGUAGCUAGUGGUAGAAAUGUUACGGAUCCUCCUUGUCAAGCUGGCAAGCGAAAACAUUCCCCAACUUUCAGUUAUAUGGUUCUGAUGUUGAAAUGCUGUGUAAUCAACUGGGUGGCUCUCCAAUCAUCUUUUUUUUAUCUCUA